This 503-nucleotide ribosomal RNA is filed under the name uncultured bacterium. RNAcentral describes it as "bacterial SSU rRNA". It matches the Rfam family "Bacterial small subunit ribosomal RNA", at positions 28 to 525 of the family's 1533-position model. The record is from RNAcentral.
GAUGAACGCUAGCGGCAGGCUUAACACAUGCAAGUCGAGGGGCAGCGCGAUGUAGCAAUACAUUGGCGGCGACCGGCGCACGGGUGCGUAACACGUAUGGAACUUACCCUUUACUGGGAGAUAGCCCGGAGAAAUCCGGAUUAAUAUCCCAUAAUAAACGAAGUGGCAUCACUUUGUUUUGAAAGCUCCGGCGGUAAAGGAUGGCCAUGCGCACGAUUAGCUAGUAGGUGAGGUAACGGCUCACCUAGGCUACGAUCGUUAGGGGGCCUGAGAGGGUUAUCCCCCACACUGGUACUGAGACACGGACCAGACUCCUACGGGAGGCAGCAGUGAGGAAUAUUGCGCAAUGGAGGCAACUCUGACGCAGCCAUGCCGCGUGCAGGAAGAAGGCGCUACGCGUUGUAAACUGCUUUUAACCGGGAAGAAACCCUCCGACGUGUCGGAGGUUGACGGUACCGGAGGAAUAAGCACCGGCUAACUUCGUGCCAGCAGCCGCGGUAAAG